GUUUUUUUAGAAAUAAAUUUAAUUUACAAAUUUUUAAUUUUUUAUUUAUUUAUUUAAUUAAAAAAAUUAUUAAUUUGAAUAUUUUAAGGGAUAAGCUUUAAAAUAAAUUAUUAAAAAUUAGUAAUUAAAAUAUAAAAUGUAUGAAUAGAAUUUUCAAUCAUUUAUAAAUUUGUUAUAAAUUAUNUUAUAAUUUAUAUUAUUUACUAUUAUUUUAAGUUUUUAUAAAAAUUUUUUCAUAAAUUUUUUUUGAAAAUUAAUAAUGAUAAAAUUAGUAUAUUAAUGUUGUAUAUAUAAUUUUAUAUGAUAAGUUUUUAUAAANNACUCGGAAAAUUUAUAUACUCGCCUGUUUAACAAAAACAUGUCUUUUUGAGUUAUUUUUAAAGUCUGACCUGCCCACUGAAUAAUUUUGAAUGGCCGCAGUAUUUUAACUGUGCAAGGUAGCAUAAUCAUUAGUCUUUUAAUUGAAGGCUGGUAUGAAUGGUUGGACGAAGUAUAAACUGUUUCAUAUAAAUUUAUUAUAGAAUUUUAUAUUUUAGUUAAAAAGCUAAAAUAUGAUUAAAAGACGAGAAGACCCUAUAAAUCUUUAUAUUUAUUAUUAUUUUAAUUUUUUGGAUAUAUUUUAUUUUAAUAAUAUUAAGUAUUUUGUUGGGGUGAUGUUAAAAUUUAAUAAACUUUUAAUUAUUGAAAUCAUUAAUUUAUGAUUUAUUGAUCCGUUAAUAACGAUUAUAAGAUUAAGUUACUUUAGGGAUAACAGCGUAAUUUUUUUGGAGAGUUCUUAUCGAUAAAAAAGUUUGCGACCUCGAUGUUGGAUUAAGAUAUAUUUUUAGGUGUAGCUGCUUAAAUAUU
RNAcentral lists this ribosomal RNA (846 nucleotides) under Rhagoletis indifferens. RNAcentral's name for it is "partial 16S ribosomal RNA". Lineage: Eukaryota; Metazoa; Arthropoda; Insecta; Diptera; Tephritidae. The record is from RNAcentral.